This 372-nucleotide ribosomal RNA is filed under the name uncultured organism. Its description in RNAcentral is "bacterial SSU rRNA". It matches the Rfam family "Bacterial small subunit ribosomal RNA", at positions 526 to 896 of the family's 1533-position model. The record is from RNAcentral.
CAGAGGGGGCAAGCGUUGUUCGGAAUUACUGGGCGUAAAGGGCGCGUAGGCGGCCUGCUAAGUCGAACGUGAAAUCCCUGGGCUCAACCCAGGAACUGCGUCCGAUACUGGUUGGCUUGAAUCCGGGAGAGGGAUGCGGAAUUCCAGGUGUAGCGGUGAAAUGCGUAGAUAUCUGGAGGAACACCGGUGGCGAAGGCGGCAUCCUGGACCGGCAUUGACGCUGAGGCGCGAAAGCCAGGGGAGCAAACGGGAUUAGAUACCCCGGUAGUCCUGGCCCUAAACGAUGAAUGCUUGGUGUGGUGGGUAUCGAUCCCUACCGUGCCGAAGCUAACGCAUUAAGCAUUCCGCCUGGGGACUACGGUCGCAAGGCUG